RNAcentral lists this ribosomal RNA (732 nucleotides) under Triticum aestivum (bread wheat). RNAcentral describes it as "partial small subunit ribosomal RNA". Lineage: Eukaryota; Viridiplantae; Streptophyta; Magnoliopsida; Poales; Poaceae. The record is from RNAcentral.
AUGUCGAUGCCGGUGUCCAUGUCCGGGAAGGCGAGCGACCCGGGUUCCGCCUGGUUCGGCGGCGGCAGCAGGAGCCCGCAACCGGGGCCGACACACAACGUGCGGCUCAUCGCCAUGGCCGUCGCCGCGUUCGUCUCCGUGCUCGGCCUCUCCCUGCUCCUGCACCUCUACAUCUGCCGCGUCCGCCGCAGGAACCGCAGGCAGGCGGAGGCAGCCGCGGCCGCGCUGGAGGCCGGCUCGGCGGCCCCCAAGCCGGCCAAGGUCGGGCUGGACCCGUCGGCCAUCGCGGCGCUGCCAACCGCGGCGUACCAGGAGACGGGCGAGCCGGGCAGCGGCGCAAGCGAGUGCACCAUCUGCCUCGGCGCCAUGCAGGAGGGCGAGGCGGUGCGCGUGCUGCCGGCCUGCGCGCACGUGUUCCACGUCCCCUGCGUCGACACGUGGCUCGCGUCCAGCUCGUCAUGCCCGGUCUGCCGCGCCCUGGUGGAGCCGCCGCUGUCGCCGGCCGCGCCAGCGUGGGUGCAGGAGAAGCAGGGCCUAGAGAAGGAGUGUGCUGCAAGUGGGAGCUCGGCGCCGCCAUGUGGGCUCGGCGCGUCGCUGAUGCGGAUGCUGAGCAGGGAGAGGCCGGUGGCGCGGAGGCCGACGCAGGGUGACCACGCGCACCCGAUGGAAAUGCAUGUCGAGGACCUGGAAAGCCAGCAGCCCCAGCAGCAACACUCUGUGGAUACCAAUUAG